AUGCCAUGAUGAGGACACCUUUUGAGCAACUCUUUAAAUCUCUUUCAAGCCUCAUACAAACUCUUAUCUUCAAGUUGAUGAAAAAAAGUGAUCUCAUUCCACAAUUU
Non-coding RNA from Citrus sinensis (sweet orange), 107 nucleotides. Lineage: Eukaryota; Viridiplantae; Streptophyta; Magnoliopsida; Sapindales; Rutaceae. The record is from Rfam.